UAGUGAGUUAGAGAUGCAGAGC
Molecule: microRNA, 22 nt
Filed under: Pongo pygmaeus (Bornean orangutan)
Lineage: Eukaryota; Metazoa; Chordata; Mammalia; Primates; Hominidae
Description: ppy-miR-3174
Source: miRBase by way of RNAcentral